ACCCCGCCUCCAUUUCCCAUGCCGGCCACUAUGAAGGGCCAUCGACCUCUGGGUCGGGGUCCGCGCGUAUACGUCCCCGCGCAUGCUCGUCCCUCUUGCUCGCUCCCCGCGCCCUUCGCCCCUGUUUGAAGUGCCCGCCUCUUUGGGGAGAGGGGCAGCGCCCUAAGGGGGCGGGGUCCGCGCCGCGCAUAGUCGUCACGCCUGUUCACCGCGCCUUCCCGCCCGUUUCAGAUCCCGCCUCUGGGGGGAGGGGCAGCUCCCUAAGGGCGCGGUGUCGGCGCGGAGCCGAGCCGCGCAUGCCCUUCCAGCUUGCUACCUCUGCCAUUUACAUUGCUUGCCUCUCUACGGGGUAAAGGCACCGCCCUAAGGGGUCGGGGUCUGCGCGCAGCCUAUGGCGCGCAUGUUCGUCCAACGGUCGAUACCGUACACUUCCGGUGCCAGCUAUCUUUACUUCUAACAGUGUUCACCCAUCUAAGGCAGAGGAAGCUUUCCGCCUGCGCCUGGUCGUCGGUGCUUCCCACCCAGCCUCCGUCAAAGCCUUCUCCCCGUAACGCUGCCUUGCCUCUCCAAAGCCCUGCGCCGCCUGCAGGCGUCUUCCGACAGCGACUGCCCGCAGCCUCCUCCCGCCGUCUUCCUCACGCAUGCCUGUCCUCGCAGCGGCAGCUCACGGUCUCCACAGGGAACAACUUCGUCUUAAAGUCAACUCAUGAAAGUUCUACUUGGUCCAUGUCUGCACACAUCUGCUCUCUACCUCAAGGGUCACAUGAGGCAGGAGGAAGAGUGGCCACGCUGGUUGAAGGACCGGGGAUGAGCUGCCACAGGCUGCCAGGGUCCCGGCACUGCUCCCCACACUCACCCUCCUGAGGAGCGGACGCCCAGACCCGAACAUCUGCCAUCCACACCCCUGGAAGGCUGCAUUGCUUAUUCCUGGGACAAGAAGGGGCCCUAGCCCAGGACCCACUUUGCAAAUGAGGAGACUGAGCCCAGCUCAGGGUUCUUCCUACAGAACUGUCACUUCUACCAGACAGUACAACCUUUGCCCUGAAAGUCAACUCCAGCAAUUUCACUGGAUGAGCAUAGCCUUCCAGAUGAGCAAAGGCAGGAGCAGGCACACCACACCCACCGUGCAAGAUUCCCACAGGUCCGUGCAGGCCUGGCCCAGCUCCAGACCUCAGCUGUGGCACUCUUGCGGCCGUCUGCAAACGCAGGUUCAGGGCAUGAGGUCAGAGGCACUUGGGCAGCAGACUCCCCACCUAGCUCAAUGCCUUUCCUUGGGCCCACACAUGUUCCUAGAGCCUACAGUCAAGGUGAAGAUGGUUCUGGGCUGGGCACAGCCUUUUCCACUGUGGGAAACACCGAGCAGGAGCAUCAAUGAAAGGCAAGGAGGUGAAGAGAGGAGUCAGGGUCAGGGCCAGAAUGUGUGGGCGGCAAGGGAGAAGAUCAAGCUCUCGUCUUAAACUGGAGCCCCUUUGGGUUUUCCCAUUUCCUCUUCAUGCAGCCCUACUCCAGGGCCAGCCCCUCAUAUUUCCUAUGAGCCUAGAAGGUGCACACAUGACCCCAUGUUGUGCCGAGAAACAUCACUAGGGGUGUUUUUCAGCCUCACUGCCCAGAGCAAGAAGCUGCAGCUCAGGACAAGCAACUAGCUCCAGGAGUCAGUGCCUGGGUGUGACCGGAGAGGGCCAGCCCCAUACCUCAC
Molecule: non-coding RNA, 1696 nt
Organism: Manis javanica (Malayan pangolin)
Lineage: Eukaryota; Metazoa; Chordata; Mammalia; Pholidota; Manidae
Source: RefSeq, a predicted model, not a curated record